Molecule: long non-coding RNA, 2176 nt
Organism: Anolis carolinensis (green anole)
Lineage: Eukaryota; Metazoa; Chordata; Lepidosauria; Squamata; Anolidae
Exons: 3
Source: RefSeq, a predicted model, not a curated record
UGCUUAUAGUUCUGUUUAUGUUAGGAUUUAUUUGUAUCAAAGCAAAUUUUCAUUUCCAGAUUUGGGAAAUAGAUGGGUAAAAGAUAAAGAUAAAGAUAAAACUUUCAUGAUCGAUAACUGCACUGACAAAGAGAAGAGGUAUAGUAUACCAAGAUGUGGUGCAUAUAAAAUUUUCCCUUUUUAGAAGCUGUGGUUUGAGUUAUUUACUAGUACAGGUAAUCUAUUCCUAUUUAUGCAGCUUAAGUGUUUCAAACAUCUUUCGGGGUCAUUAAUUGGCUUUAGUAAGAGUAAUGGUGAAGCACACUUAAAACUCUUUCCACUAAAUACAUCUAGAAGUGCAGAAUAUGUAAGUAAGUACACAAACUAGAAGCACUUCAGAAUCAGCAGGUACUAUACUUUGCAUUUUGAUUUUCAUUUUCAUGCUGACGGGGAAAGUACAUCUGAUAAAGAAAGACAGGAGCUGUUAGAAUGUUAAUCAAAAUAUUUAACAAAAUACUAAAAAGUAUGUCAAGAUCAGUAUAAUUUGAUUUCAUCCUUGUUAAGCAAAUAUUUAGUGCAUAGAGGACGAUCUAAUUAUAUUCUAAACUGAAAGGAAAGCUUUGACUGAUCAGGCCCCCAAUGUGUGCAUUUGGAUGGCCAAGUGAGCGUUGGAAGGAGAAUUAUCUCUCCUCCUGGGUGAAGGAGUAAAUUUACUGCCAGUAAUGCUAGACUGGAUAUAUUUUAAGUGUGUUAGACUAUUCCUGAAUAAAAAAGAUGAUCAACUUGUAGUCACUGGAUCUUUCAGCAGCUUUUGAUAUUAUUAAUCAUAGUAUCCUACUGAAUCAGACUCAUCAGAUUGGACCAGAACACAGUAGGUCACAGUGGUUCAAUUCCUUUCCAUCUUUCCCUAUGUCAACUUGCCUGGGGAUUGAGCUCUGCUGGGUCUCUUAUGUCCCACAGUGAAGAAAUAUGAUGUAGGUAAGUGCCUUUUCAGCUGUUGCACUAAACUUGUGGAGGUUUUGUCAGGAUUUGCAAAUUACACUGCAUUUCUUUAAGUGAUAACAGGAUCAGGCUUAACCAAAGAUGUCAAUGUAAUUGGGGUGUGGCAGCUAGUGCUUAGACUGUAGUACAUAGAUUGUAGUAACUCUGUGUUGAGUUGAUGCAGGUUGGAGGUUGGUGGAUGAAGAUAGGAGAGAGAGAGAGUUUGUACAUACUGUAAAUACUGCGGACUCAAGGCAGCUAACACUCCACGGCUUCUGAACCAAAGUUUACCCUGCAGUGUAAUAACGUGCCACUCAGGGUAUCUUCAAAUGUCCAUCUGAACAGCAAUUUGAGAAGCUCAAACUGGAGAAUGGCAGGGCUCCUGAAGACCAUGGGUGAACCAGUUGAAAAUAAAGACUCCUGCAUUGAAUAGGUGGUAGAAUGAAACCAGGUGAACAAAGGAAGAAAAAGAGAGCUGUCUUUCUCUCUAUAAUCUGUCUGGGAGAAUAUCCUUAUCAUUCUGUACCAGUCCCCAUCCCCAGUAGUUAUGAGGAGGGAGGGAAGGCAACAACUAUUCAGGGCAGUGUCGUGUGUUAAUCACAAGCUCAUAACUGGCAGUAAAGCUGAAAGGCCCACGUCUGCCGUGGUGAAUAAUUUCCAUGCCAAGGCCCAGAACAGGCAAGCCAUGUCAUUUGUAACAUCUGCCUCGAGAAACCCCAGCCAAAAUGAGCUAGUUAGAAAGUUUACAUUGCCUCUCUCAUUCUAAUCCAUGAAAAGUUGGCUUUGAAAGGCUCAGGGGUUUUGACAUCCUGAAAGUGUUUUAUCAGACAGAUAAAAUGGGAUGAUUUGAAUGCUUAAAAAGAUGACAUUUCUAUGCCUGUGCCUUUAUCGGGACUAUGUGACUUUUAUUAGAUAAAUAAAUUGUUUUCCUAAAGACAUUGCGUUAAAAGCUUUGGGAUUUGCAGUUGUUUUAUGUUUGGCAAUAUCUGAUUUACAAUGGCAUCAAAAUUAUAUGUGAAGAUGUAAUGAAAUCCAAAUGCUAUCUAUCCAUAGUUUUUUGUCUUCUUCAUUAUUAUUAUGCAAAUAUAAAGUAUACUUUUAUUAAGUAUUGUUAAUUGAUUUAAAUGUGUUGCUUGAUUUUAUUGAAUUAUUGAAUUUCUGGGCAUUGAAUUUUGCCAGUCUCUGUAAGCCGCCUUGAGUCCCCUCAGGUGAGAAA